Molecule: ribosomal RNA, 459 nt
Filed under: uncultured bacterium
Lineage: Bacteria
Description: partial 16S ribosomal RNA
Rfam family: Bacterial small subunit ribosomal RNA
Source: RNAcentral
CCUACGGGAGGCAGCAGUGAGGAAUAUUGGUCAAUGGCCGGAAGGCUGAACCAGCCAUGCCGCGUGAAGGUCAAUGCCCUAUGGGCUUUAAACUUCUUUUGUGCGGGAGCAAUAGUGGUCGCGUGUGGCCAGACGAGAGUACCGUACGAAUAAGCAUCGGCUCACUCCGUGCCAGCAGCGGCGGUAAUACGGAGGAACCGCGCGUUGUCCGGAUUUUUUGGGUUUAAAGGGUGCGUAGGCGGGCUUUUAAGUGAGUGGGGAAAACCUGUGGGUCAACCAUAGAAGUGCCGUUGAAACUGGGAGGCUUGAGUAGGUGUGAGGCAGGCGGAAUGCGUGGUGUAGCGGUGAAAUGCUUAGAUAGCACGCAGAACCCCGAUUGCGAAGGCAGCCUGCCAAGCCAUGACUGACGCUGAUGCACGAAAGCGUGGGGAUCAAACAGGAUUAGAUACCCGUGUAGUC